This 660-nucleotide ribosomal RNA is filed under the name uncultured Sphingomonas sp. Its description in RNAcentral is "bacterial SSU rRNA". It matches the Rfam family "Bacterial small subunit ribosomal RNA", at positions 53 to 756 of the family's 1533-position model. Lineage: Bacteria; Pseudomonadati; Pseudomonadota; Alphaproteobacteria; Sphingomonadales; Sphingomonadaceae. The record is from RNAcentral.
ACAUGCAAGUCGAACGAGACCUUCGGGUCUAGUGGCGCACGGGUGCGUAACGCGUGGGAAUCUGCCCUUGGGUUCGGAAUAACUCGCCGAAAGGCGUGCUAAUACCGGAUGAUGUCGUAAGACCAAAGAUUUAUCGCCCAGGGAUGAGCCCGCGUAAGAUUAGCUAGUUGGUGAGGUAAAGGCUCACCAAGGCGACGAUCUUUAGCUGGUCUGAGAGGAUGAUCAGCCACACUGGGACUGAGACACGGCCCAGACUCCUACGGGAGGCAGCAGUGGGGAAUAUUGGACAAUGGGCGAAAGCCUGAUCCAGCAAUGCCGCGUGAGUGAUGAAGGCCUUAGGGUUGUAAAGCUCUUUUACCCGGGAUGAUAAUGACAGUACCGGGAGAAUAAGCUCCGGCUAACUCCGUGCCAGCAGCCGCGGUAAUACGGAGGGAGCUAGCGUUGUUCGGAAUUACUGGGCGUAAAGCGCACGUAGGCGGCCUUGUAAGUCAGAGGUGAAAGCCUGGAGCUCAACUCCAGAACUGCCUUUGAGACUGCAUCGCUUGAAUCCAGGAGAGGUGAGUGGAAUUCCGAGUGUAGAGGUGAAAUUCGUAGAUAUUCGGAAGAACACCAGUGGCGAAGGCGGCUCACUGGACUGGUAUUUGACGCUUAAGGUUGCGA